UUUAUAUUGAGGUACAAUUCCUGUUUCUUUGGCGCCGCGAUCAUAAGGUACUGUUGGUAACAGGACGUCCUUCUGAUUAAAAAAUAUAUAGUGUUAUAGGCACCGCAAUUGCUCAGUUUAAUAUAUGUGCUGGGUAAAAAAGCCCAUACACGACACACAUAUGUGUGCGCAUGCGGUUUACGCACAAAUUCUCAUUUCUCUCGUGCCGCCGAACAGUGAAGAUCGCGGACGAACAAAGGCAAAUGUUAAGGGGGGAGCCUGCUUUAGAGGUUUCAAAAAAUCGAUUUUUGAGGAUUUUUUUGGGAGGGAAAGAUAUAAUUGUCAAGUGAAAUUUCUAGGCUUAUAAAUAUAUAUUUGGUCAUUUUUCACAAAUUUUUUGGAUACGAAAUCUUUGAUAUUCUGCCUUUGGGAAGCAAUUGCCUGAUGGGUCUCGCAUGUGCAUUUUUCGGACGGCGGGCAGGAUGCAGGUCGCAAUUUUUAUCGGAAACAAAAAAUUCAAAGAUAUUUAUAUUUUUUAAUAAUUUAUCUUUUAAAAAGGGAAAAGAAGUGGUUUUUGACCAAAAAAUUGUACCUUACGUUGUUCAAAAAUAUGUUCAAACUUGAUUUUUCUUAUUUUUUUUAGUUUAAAUAGAAGGUAAUUUUAUGCCAAUGUUAAUAAACUUUGCCCUAAUUCCAUACGACGUCUAGUUUUUUUUCUAUCCUGUCCGCCAAUUAAGAAUAAUCGUAAAAAUGAAAAACCGAGAAAUCGCGCUUCAAAGUAUUCGCUUUUUUCCCAAGCGCUCAUAUAUCUGUUAGACGCUCGGUUACUAUUUCCCUUCUAUCUUGGACAAUAUUUCGAAUUCCAAUCUAUAACUUUGGGGAAAUAUUGUUAGAUAAUUUUUAAAGAGAUUAAAACCGAUUGUUUGAAGCUAAUGGCGUAAUUUCGGGUACUCAACUAUCCGAAAAUGGACCAAUCGAAUGGUGGACUACGCUGCCAUUAUAUUGCAAUUUGUCAGAAGAUCUAAAAACAUUGGUGACACCGCUCUUGACUGGUUUGUUAAAAAAAAUAUCUAGAGAAAACCCGGUGUUUGAUCGUUUCUCCAAGAAGUAACAUUAAUUUUGCGUAAAUUCGUUUUGCAUGUCUUUUUCACAAAUCGCACCACUUCUGUGGAAGUUUACCUCGAACCAGUCGUACAAAUUGAUAAAUUUCGUGAACGCAUAUUACUACAGCCGGAGUACCAAUAGAAAAGCAGAUAUUAUUAUUCAAUAAUGAGCCUUUGGAAAGUGACGUCCUCUUCCAUAUCUAAAGCUUUUCCUAAAACCACAGUAGAAAAUCCAAUAUUCCUAUAUAGUAAUGAUGACAAUAAUGUAACGUAACGUGUCGGUUGAAAAUUAUGCCAGUUUUGCUAAGGUGGGUGUUUAUUAUUUGGUUCAGAUUAUAUUUUAGUGAGUAUUUUAUUUAUUAUUUUUUAGGCCGCUUGUAGCGUUGGACAUGAAUGCAAGAGACACCUUUACAUUUAUGGGUAUUUUAAUAAAGCGUUCUGUAGAACAAGAAGACAGCAGUCGGGUCAACUGGCUGUUCUCCCUAAAUUAUAAUUAAUAAAUAUUAAUUCUAAUACGA
Bactrocera dorsalis (oriental fruit fly) is the source of this 1600-nucleotide long non-coding RNA. RefSeq lists it as uncharacterized. Lineage: Eukaryota; Metazoa; Arthropoda; Insecta; Diptera; Tephritidae. The record is from RefSeq and is a predicted model, not a curated record. The transcript is spliced from 2 exons.